UACGAGGGGGGCGAGCGUUGUUCGGAAUUAUUGGGCGUAAAGGGUGCGUAGGCGGUUUGGUAAGUCUUAUGUGAAAUCUACAGGCUCAACUUGUAGUCUGCAUGAGAAACUGCCGGGCUUGAGUAUGGGAGAGGUGAGUGGAAUUCCUGGUGUAGCGGUGAAAUGCGUAGAGAUCCGGAGGAACACCAAAGGCGAAGGCAGUGUCCUGGGGAGUACCUGACGCUCAGGUGCGAAAGCCAGGGGAGCGAACGGG
RNAcentral lists this ribosomal RNA (253 nucleotides) under uncultured bacterium. RNAcentral describes it as "partial 16S ribosomal RNA". It matches the Rfam family "Bacterial small subunit ribosomal RNA", at positions 524 to 776 of the family's 1533-position model. The record is from RNAcentral.